This 78-nucleotide transfer RNA is filed under the name Burkholderia ubonensis. RNAcentral describes it as "tRNA-Met". It matches the Rfam family "tRNA". From Rfam's summary of the family: Transfer RNA (tRNA) molecules are approximately 80 nucleotides in length. Lineage: Bacteria; Pseudomonadati; Pseudomonadota; Betaproteobacteria; Burkholderiales; Burkholderiaceae. The record is from RNAcentral.
GGCGGGGUAGCUCAGUCUGGUAGAGCACAGGGCUCAUAAUCCUGGGGUCGCAAGUUCGAAUCUUGCCCACCGCAACCA